Non-coding RNA from Acanthosepion pharaonis, 112 nucleotides. The record is from the annotation of a GenBank genome assembly. Lineage: Eukaryota; Metazoa; Mollusca; Cephalopoda; Sepiida; Sepiidae.
ACGGCCACAUCACGUCGAAGCACCGAUUCCCGUACGAUCACGGGAGUUAAGUAACGUCGAACCUGAUCAAUAUCUAGAUGGGUGCCUGCUUGGGAAUAUCAGGUGUUGUAAG